GACGAACGCUGGCGGCGUGCCUAAUACAUGCAAGUUGAACGCUUCUUUCUUAUCGAACUUCGGUUCACCAAGAAAGAGGAGUAGCGAACGGGUGAGUAACACGUGGGUAACCUGCCCAUCAGCGGGGGAUAACACUUGGAAACAGGUGCUAAUACCGCAUAAUGCUUUUUCUCACAUGAGAGAAAGCUGAAAGGCGCUUUUGCGUCACUGAUGGAUGGACCCGCGGUGCAUUAGCUAGUUGGUAGGGUAACGGCCUACCAAGGCAACGAUGCAUAGCCGACCUGAGAGGGUGAUCGGCCACACUGGGACUGAGACACGGCCCAGACUCCUACGGGAGGCAGCAGUAGGGAAUCUUCGGCAAUGGACGAAAGUCUGACCGAGCAACGCCGCGUGAGUGAAGAAGGUUUUCGGAUCGUAAAACUCUGUUGUUAGAGAAGAACAAGGAUGAGAAGAGAAUGUUCAUCCCU
RNAcentral lists this ribosomal RNA (467 nucleotides) under Enterococcus italicus. RNAcentral describes it as "bacterial SSU rRNA". It matches the Rfam family "Bacterial small subunit ribosomal RNA", at positions 28 to 469 of the family's 1533-position model. Lineage: Bacteria; Bacillati; Bacillota; Bacilli; Lactobacillales; Enterococcaceae. The record is from RNAcentral.